AAAAUGGAAGAGGACUUCUGAAGGAGUCCUCUCUUCGACCGCUGAAGCUUCCCUAUUUGGCCACCGCACCAUCCGCGGCCCCAUCCUGUCGCCGUCUCCCCUUGUUCCCUCCACCAACCCUGGCGAACUCGAGUCCUUGUGGCUCCAUGCGAGCACCGGCAAACCCCAGCCACUGUCCAAGCUUCCCUAUUUGGCCGCUCUAAGUCUCCCACCGUAGCCACCUUCUAAGCUUCCCUAUUCGGCUGCUCCAAGCCUCCCACCAUUCAAGAUCUCCC
Molecule: long non-coding RNA, 275 nt
Filed under: Elaeis guineensis (African oil palm)
Lineage: Eukaryota; Viridiplantae; Streptophyta; Magnoliopsida; Arecales; Arecaceae
Description: long non-coding RNA (EGUI_LNC049141)
Source: RNAcentral